ACAGCUACCGGCAGCAUUUUACAUGAUACCAGUAGCGAACUCAAAGCACUACAAUGAGCGCCUUUGACAGCAGCAGCACAGUGACCAUGAAGACAAGAACCACAACCAGGAAUGAAGCUUGUCAGAAAGAAGAAGAAAGAACAUCUGUACUCGUACCUUAAAUCGAUGCAGUGGAACUUUGUCCAAGUACAAUGCUGUUCUGGAUCAUAAUAGGAGCAGACGAUAUCAGGAAACUUUCUUUAGAUGAACUCCCAGGUUCAGUGGAUGAACUCCAUGCAAUAAUAAAAGACAAGCUUCAGCUCAAGGAAAAUUUCAAAUUACAGUAUGCAGUUCCUGAUUUUAUGAAUUAACUUUAUAAUUUGACAAGCCUAGCAGAUCUACCAGCAGAGAAGGCAACGCUUAAAGUAAUUUGGCAUUUAUUCACAGAUGAUUGGGAUGUGUCAGAUUUUACCUUAGACACAGAAAGUCUAUCUUCCUCUCAGUCAUUAGAUUCUGGGCCCUCACCCUCACAGGUGCUAAACAAGUGGGUGGAGCACUGGCCAGCAACAUUCACGAUACCAACUUUCUCUUAUGUUUUAGUAAUUAGUGCUAAACUUUUUGUCAUUGGUUUUAUUUAAUAGCUAAAACAGCACAUUUUGCACUGGAGCAAAAACCUUAAGUUGUCCUGUAUGUGACUGACAAGCGGAAUAAACAUAUUCUGACUGUUGUUUAUGUUCAUAAACUGC
This is a long non-coding RNA of Acipenser ruthenus (sterlet), 725 nucleotides long. RefSeq lists it as uncharacterized. The record is from RefSeq and is a predicted model, not a curated record. NCBI's taxonomy places the organism in Eukaryota, Metazoa, Chordata, Actinopteri, Acipenseriformes, Acipenseridae. The transcript is spliced from 3 exons.